CAGUGGAGUAUAAUGUAUGGUAUGCUGGUUGCAUAUAGGGGUAGUGUGUGUCAUAUAAGCGCCUUGUCUUACACCCCUCCUCCCUCGUCUCAUGAUAAAGUGUGUGCAGCAGGUUUGCCUUGCUAAGUAUACCUGAGGGAACUCUACACUCUGUAGCUUAACUUUAUCAUCGCUGACAUGCUAGUAUGAGUGUUUGGGGAGAGAGAGUGUGCAGACGGCCUUGGUCAACCCCUAACACACUUCACCAGCUACUGCAGAGACACAGUAAUCCGUCAUACUUACCUACACACAAACACACAGUCAUAUGCAUGCACUGCAAGGAUACAUAUCUAUACAGUACAUCUAUAUAUCACUUUAGACUUCACAUUAAAGGGGACACUCACAGAUGCUUCAGAUGUGAGACUAAAAAGAAAAAUAACAGUUGUACGCUAUGUACAGUAUGUUCGAUCCAAAAUUACAGGACUGAAUAAAAACUUUCAAAAGAAGAAUUAGAAAGUAGAAGUGUUCAAUUUAUUUGUAACCUGAAGCGGCACAAGCUGAAACCUUUUGAUUUUUCAAUAUUCCUAAUAAAUCAGUUUUUAAAAUUAAUUAAAAUUAAUUAUCUCUAGGGUGGCAAUCAGUGUAACAGACCACUAUGAUGAACUUGUGUUAUAACUGUAUGCUUAUUUGUGUGUGUGUGUGUGAGAGAGAGAGAGAGAGAGAGAGAGAGAGAGUGUGUGACUUUGGAAGGAGUAGAAAUAAGGAUAAACGAGAGCAAGGGGGUUUAAAUGUGGUUGAAGACGGAGAAAGAGAUAGUUGCUGUUCUGUGUAAAACAAUAAAAGCCGAUUCAUGUCUACAUUCCUCAGCUGGUAGUAAAACCUGCUCGCUUACUUUAGAUGAGGGCUCUGCCAGUCUCUUUCCCCACACAGGCCUCUUUCCCUGUCUUGGGUUCUCUUUCCUCUUGCUCUGUUUUUUACAUGCUACUGUACAGCUGGAGAUUUCACACAAACAGGCCAAAAAUCUGAUCUAAGUAUACUGUUCCUACAAGCAUUCUUCUGGUACAGUGUGUGUGUCUGAGUCCAAAUUUUGACGUGUGUGUGUGUGCGUGUGUGUGUCAAAAACUGUGUUUUUGUAUAUGUGUGUUUUGAGUAGCUUGACACACACACAUAUUUCAAGACAAUCCCAGACCUUGCUGUGAUGUAAGUGUGUAAAGACAGACCAUUGUAAGAACAGUUUCUGGCUGCCCCGCAGAAACAACAAGUCCUUUUGGUGUUACCUGGUCUGGAGAGCAGGAAGCAGAGAGGGUCUAAUCAGCCUGGUUUCAGCUUCUUCAUCCUUAUCUUCGUCCUGGGCUGACUCGCCAGGCAUUCCUUUCCUCUCCACCAGCGGGAGACUCCUAUCCUGUGUUGGCCCCAGCUUCAUACAAACAUCUAUAAAAGUGAUAUCUAAGCAGGAUUAUGAACUGUAAGGUGGGAGACAGAAGAGUUUUAACAUGUUGUCUUUGAUUAAUCAACUCAUGUCGAGCAUAACAAGCGUUUGUAUCUACUUUUUCAUGCUAGGAGAUGCUUUCAGGUGUUAAAGCAGCAUUGAGGGGCUGAUUUAUCUUAAAACAUUACUUUUCACUUUAUAAAAGUGUUAAACUCACACAGACACAAGCUGAGCAGAGAGAAAGUGGCAAAUUGGGCUUUGAUUUUGAAAUUCAUAGUAGAGUUUUCAUGCUUGUGACAUAAACACAGCUGAUUCAGAGCCCACACAGCCUUAAGUGUAUCAUUUUUUGGUGUGUUUUUUUCUGAGGUCUGUGCAUAGCUGGAGGAAGAAACCAACCAACCUUCUAUUUUCUGGAUUUUCAGCUAGUGAAACUGAAGUGAGACGGAUCAAAGAGGGUAACCUACACACCAGAGUAAGCUAUCGGCUAUUGGCCCAUUCUUUCAUGGUUAACUCAAGUUGGGCUGUGUUAUGACCUGGCAUCCUGUUAUAUGUUCAUAAAGACAGAUUAAAGCUGCAUGAAUCCUCUGACAGAGAGAGUGUUGACAGUUUUUUACCAUGACAACAUCACAAUAUGAAAAAGAGAAAAUUGGUAAAAACACUACAGUAACACAAUCAUAUGGGGCUGAGGUGCAGAUCUAAAUCUCCUAUUUAUUCUCCUAUUAUAGCCCCAGAUGCUGAUAAUACAGUUAUUGGAGUAUUAUUUUUAGUGAGAUACAAAGUUUGUCAUUGUCAGUUUCAAUAAGGUUUCAGUGAUAAGAAAAGAGCCAGAAAAGUCAAAUUUAAGUUAAGUGUCUAUAUUUAGUACAUUAAAGGGUAGUGGAUCAGUUGUCCUUCUCUUCUUUCUAGGGCUGCUUGAUUAUGGGAAAAAGUCAUCAAGAUGAUUAUAAGGAUUAAUACUAUUAUCACCAUUGUUACAAGCACCCAUAUUUUGACAUCUGCAUCACAUUUGACACCUUCAUUCAACCUAAAAGACAUAACAGGGCAACACAGCAGACAGCACUUCAUCAUUGAGUCUUUGGUCUUGGCGAUAAUAUUUCUAUGAUCAUAAUCAAAGUUAAAAUCUCAUUUAUUUAGGAUCCUUCCUAACCUAAAAAGAAGAAUCUAAGCUGACCAAAGGUGCCACAAAUGAAAGCAGAAUGCAGUCCACUCUGCUGUGUGUGUGUGUGUGUGUGUGUGUGUGUGUGUGUGUGUGAGCAGAUGCUUUUUCCUCAGCAUCCCUCACCCUGUUCUGGUAUUCCCACCUCACCAGCUUUAAAUUACUGUUUGCCAGUAUAGCCCCCUUACCCGCCCUCUGUGAACUCUUUUAUCCCUCUGCUUCUUACCUGAUUAUCCUCUUUCCUUUUCUCUUUUCUCUCCUCCAGCUUUCUCUCUCUGUUUACUCUGUCUCUCCUACUUUUUUCAUUCUGUGGUUUCUGGGCUUUGCAGGAAUUCCUCCUCAGCUCCACUCCUCGAAUCAAUUCCCCUCCGAGUCAGUCACUUCCCUUUCUCUUUUUUUACCCUCACCUCCCAUGUCUCAUCCUCCUUUUUUCUCUAGCUUCACAUUGAUUUGAAGUGCCUAUUUUCUCAGUUUUACACAGCUCUACAGCACAUCCAUGCCUCUCCACUCACCUGUUUUUUUUUUCUUUCCACAAUCACUGCUUCCUUUUUCUGUCCACCUCUUGUAUCUGCUCUCUUGCUCUCUCUCAUUUUCUCUCAUCAUGUCAGUGUUAUCUGCUGAUUUGCUCCAUCCCAAACCUCCCACUCCUUCCCCGUCCUCAUCUCUUUCUCUCUCUCUCUCUCUCUCUCUCUUUCUCUCUAUUCUCUUUUCUGUUGGCUCUGUCUUUUAUGGGAACUGGUGGGAGGCUUUGGUGGUCCAUCUUGAGUAAUAGUUUGUUUUGAUGCACUGGUACAGAUAGGGAUAGAGGCUUAAGGACCAGGACAGAGGGGGGGAAACAGAGUGGGAAAGGACAAGAAUAGAUCAAUUUGUCCAGAGAAAGAGAAGAGGAAGAGGAGGAAAUGAAAGAGCAGACAAUAGGAGAGGAGGAAGAGACAUAUGAGUGAUGGCUCUCUUCACAGUGGCUGGUUUUCCCUCACAGUGGACCCUCAGGGCUGAGGGUGAGAAUGAAUUAAGGCUAUGCAGACCUCUGGAGACCCUCUUACUUCGUGAGGGGAUACAGUGAUGAGGGUGAGGAGAAGGAGGCAGCGCCCUGAGUUGGGGAGUCAGGGGGAAAAACCCCCAAGAGGUCCCUGUGUGGCGUGAGAACCAUGUCAAAGCUAUAGAUGGCAGCCUGCGAGGAUUAUGCAAAGUCAAAAAGCAGAUGACUGAGCACACACAUGGCAUGUCUGUCGAUCUCCCUCCU
This 3807-nucleotide long non-coding RNA is filed under the name Xyrichtys novacula (pearly razorfish). Lineage: Eukaryota; Metazoa; Chordata; Actinopteri; Labriformes; Labridae. The record is from RNAcentral.